CCUACGGGAGGCAGCAGUAGGGAAUCUUCCACAAUGGGCGAAAGCCUGAUGGAGCAACGCCGCGUGGGUGAAGAAGGUCUUCGGAUCGUAAAACCCUGUUGUUAGAGAAGAAAGUGCGUGAGAGUAACUGUUCACGUUUCGACGGUAUCUAACCAGAAAGCCACGGCUAACUACGUGCCAGCAGCCGCGGUAAUACGUAGGUGGCAAGCGUUAUCCGGAGUUAUUGGGCGUAAGGGGAACGCAGGCGGUCUUUUAAGUCUGAUGUGAAAGCCUUCGGCUUAACCGGAGUAGUGCAUUGGAAACUGGGAGACUGGAGUGCAGAAGAGGAGAGUGGAACUCCAUGUGUAGCGGUGAAAUGCGUAGAUAUAUGGAAGAACACCAGUGGCGAAAGCGGCUCUCUGGUCUGUAACUGACGCUGAGGUUCGAAAGCGUGGGUAGCAAACAGGAUUAGAUACCCCGGUAGUC
This 465-nucleotide ribosomal RNA is filed under the name uncultured bacterium. Its description in RNAcentral is "partial 16S ribosomal RNA". It matches the Rfam family "Bacterial small subunit ribosomal RNA", at positions 338 to 795 of the family's 1533-position model. The record is from RNAcentral.